UCUAAAAUGGCAGAUUAGUGCUAAGGACUUAAGAUCCUUAUAAAAAGGUUUAAAUCCUUUUUUUAGAA
This 68-nucleotide transfer RNA is filed under the name Ibla cumingi. Its description in RNAcentral is "tRNA-Leu". It matches the Rfam family "tRNA". Rfam says of the family: Transfer RNA (tRNA) molecules are approximately 80 nucleotides in length. Their secondary structure includes four short double-helical elements and three loops (D, anti-codon, and T loops). Lineage: Eukaryota; Metazoa; Arthropoda; Thecostraca; Iblomorpha; Iblidae. The record is from RNAcentral.